CAAAUUCUAGGGCUCGACUUCUUAAGCAGACAAAACACUGUAACAACAAAAUCAUGCUCUCCAGUCUCUUUUCAGGAAAAGGCUCUCUGCCAGCUCCCCUGUAGAGAGUGUUUUAGAUGCAUUAUGAGGCCUUUGUAAUGCAUAAUAGUUGACUCAAAAGGUCAGCUAUCAGCAUAUUCAUUAGAAAGACAAUAAAACAAAGGGCAGGAAUUAAAGAUUUGAAGAAUCCUUAAAUUAUAGAGGUGGAUGUAAAUAAAUGAGAUGGAGAAAAGGUAGAACAAGAGAAAGAGUGACACAGAGGUCACUUAAACAUAUUUCAAUAAACAGUAAGACUUGUACUGGAUCCCCCUGAGUAAUCUCUUCCAUGUGAUUCAUUUCUAUCAGAUUCCUUAACUUGUCCCAGUUUAUCAUACAUGGUCACUGUCAUGCCUCAUCCUUCCCUCCCUCCCUCUCUCCCUCCCUCCCUCUCUCUCUCUCCCUCCUCUACCGUCUUUCCCUCCAUCUCUGUAACCAAUCUGUAACCAUACUUGACUUGCAGCCCUUGCAAGAAGCAGACCUCCACAAAAACUCCGGCUCCUCUGUCAAAAUGCCAGACUCUAACGAAGCUGUGCCAGCGCCGUGCCAGGUCAUCAAAGAGGACGUUGACAAAUGUGUCAGAGAGAAGGGAGCAGAGAACUGUAAAGAUCUGGUAGAUGCGUUCCAGGCCUGCGUAAAGACCCUGUCUGAGGGAUCGUGAUACACAAGGAAAUAUGUAAAAUCUUCACUUGAUCAAAAUCCUCCACUUUCCCAGCAUUCCCUUGCAAUGGACCGAACAAUCUGACAAACUGGAGAGGAGCUGAUGCCACUCAUACUAUGUGCACUUACUAUCAAUGUGAAUUUAUUUUUGUACAUUUUACAAUUUCAUUAUGAACUGAAUAUCAAUGCACAUUUUUAUGCA
Molecule: long non-coding RNA, 937 nt
Organism: Scomber japonicus (chub mackerel)
Lineage: Eukaryota; Metazoa; Chordata; Actinopteri; Scombriformes; Scombridae
Exons: 3
Source: RefSeq, a predicted model, not a curated record